Molecule: RNA transcript, 1817 nt
Organism: Zophobas morio
Lineage: Eukaryota; Metazoa; Arthropoda; Insecta; Coleoptera; Tenebrionidae
Exons: 2
Source: RefSeq, a predicted model, not a curated record
CCGAGAAUGCCGCAGCUUCUCCCCCUUUUAAAUAAAGGUGAUGUUCGCGAUUCCUGUUGUUGCAAACUUAAUACUUCCACCGUUCUAGUUCCUAAAAAAAAGAGACACAGAAGAACUUUUCUAGAACUUAAAAGGGAUUUUGUUUGUUCUGAAUGCGAUCGAAGGUAUGCUUCAGAGCAUUCACUUCUUCAACACAUGAAAAUUAAACAUACCCAGGCUAAUAAGGAGCAAGAAAAAAUUCGUGAAACUCGUGAACAGCCAUCGGUUAAGACUCCUCCGCUUCGUGAGAAGCCCGAAGUUUCUACCUAUGUUUACACUCAAAAUGAAGUAGGGAAACUGGGUGAGGGACCUCUGUCAACCGCACAAAACUGCAUAAAUUCAGAACCUAAUGAGUCUGAAUACCGUUCGAUUUACACAUACCAUAACAACUAUCCUGUUACUCACUCUCGAAGUUUGAGUAAGGACUUCAUGGAACAUCGUUAUAGCCCCUUUUACCCGAAAUAUUCGGGAGUCAGCGCGACACCCGUUAAUAAAAUUUGCACAACCAGGAAACACUAGCCAACCUGCUUGCCUUGGAAGAGGGAAGGAGACGCGAGAUAUCAAGCUACUACGCAACACCUAGAGGGCCUACACCUUCCAUCUAUAAAAAUUUUUUGUCUCAACCUCAAUCUUCACAUUUUGCACAACAUCGGCACUUAGCAAUCCCUCGUCUUCCUGGAGUUAAUAUUCAACCAAAUACUUAUAGUCUCCCGUAUACUUUUUCUCCUCAUCAUUUUCCUUCUUUUGAAGGAGGAAGUCUUAUUGCUGCUUUAGACCUUGUUUCUGAUACUAAAGUACCCGAAAAAAAGUUAAUUUCCUCUUCCUGUUUUCCUUAUGAACUUUAUCCUUCAUCGAUUGAUUCUAAUGGUUUUGCUGGUGUUUUAAUCAAUAGAAGAAGACCAUCUUUAAAUAUGCACCCCUCUAACCAAGUACCUGUGGUGGGUAAUAAAGUAGAGCCAAAUCCUGGUUACUCCUUUAGAAAUACUGGCGUAAUUAGUGACUCUAUUUUUGACAUUUACCUCAAAGAUCGAGUUUUUUUAAAAAGUGAUGACGAUAGCACCUUUUCCAAUAGAAUCGUUAACGACGUGAAUAUUAAAAGUGAUGGCGGAAAUGUUAAUAUAUGCAAAGAUUACCAUAAUACCAUUAAUGCUGGGUUUAACACUGUAAAAAACGAGACUAGUGGUAAUAUAAUUAGUAAUUGUAAGAAAGUUAAUUAUAACAAGGGCGUCAACAACGACUUAAACUGCUCUCCCCAUUUAUCAAGAAAUAUAGAUUUGAAUUGUGAAAUAAGUGAUAAGGAUGGUCAAUUGACCGUGAAAGCUGCUCCGCUUGUUACUGCCGAUGUAGUGAGCUCCGCCGUGCCUUCCUUUCAAAAAGAUUUAUACGAAAUGCUACCUUCUAACUUGCCAGUUUUGGGACUUCAUCAAGAUUCAGUUACAAUAGGGGAUAGUGAAGGCUCUGAAGGAUUAGCAAAGGCUUCAGAAAAAGAAGCAGGAAAAGAAAAAAAUGAAAUUUGCGACUAUUUGACAGAUGAAUUUUUAGAUAAGCUUAUCGGAGAUCUCUCUAACGAUCUCUUGCAGGUGGAUUUGGAAGGGAAUACUUGUCAGGAACAGUCUACAAUUAAACGUCACACGACUGAUAGAAGUGAUGAUUUUCUUGCUAGUGGUUUCUCAGAACCGAAGUCCUUGUUAAGUUCGGGCUCUUUGGAGGGUAUCGUAAAGUCCUUUUUUUAGUAUCCUUUGUUAAAAAAGUGAGACGAAGAAAAAGAUCUUAAUUAA